This is a long non-coding RNA of Vidua macroura (Pin-tailed whydah), 689 nucleotides long. RefSeq lists it as uncharacterized. The transcript is spliced from 3 exons. The record is from RefSeq and is a predicted model, not a curated record. Lineage: Eukaryota; Metazoa; Chordata; Aves; Passeriformes; Viduidae.
CCUGUCAGUGAGUGGCAGGGGGUGGCAGUGCCUGUCACAUCUCUGCUUUUGGAAAAGAUCAGAACCCUGAUGGCACAGCCAUACUGCAGUUUCCAUAGCAGACCUCAGACAAGAUGUUCCCCAGGAGAGUUUUUUGAUAUCACCAUUUUUCAGAGAAUGGAACUCCAUUCUAUUGGAGAUCCCAUCCCAGGCAGUCUAGAAGUGAUUAUGGAGUAGCAGCGCAGCAGCAGCAUUAUUGCUGUGGGGAGUGCUGAUGAUCUUGGUUGCACUCAUUUCCCCAUGGGAAGACUUGCCUGCUUCUGAGUGCAGCCUUAAUUACAAAGCUGGCAUUACUUCCUACUAGUGAUGAAUAAAAAAAUUUCUUGUGGCUGAGAAACUCUACAUUGGUGGACCUUCUGUCACAAUUGUCAAACACAAGGAGAGAAAAUGAGUUAUUUGCAGAAUCACAGAAUGGGUAAUGCAAUGACGCCAUUAUUUUAGUGAUCAAGGAUGUUCUACCUGAUGAAGAUAAUCCAGACAACAUUAUUUCUUUUAUAAACUCCGUGUCUUUCUCUUUUAAAUGUUCCAUUUUCACCUACUAUGAAGAGACAACAAGAGCAUUUAUCCAACCCUGAAGAUGAAGCCACAGGCAGAACAACCAAUUUUCCAAUUUUCUGUUCUCAUGUGGUCAGUAUUCUGGCUUCAGUUUU